GUACAAGAACAUGAUAACUUAAGAAAAGCAGUUCUGCCGUGUGGUUGGAAAUUUGCAGGAGAAAUGACAAUGAUCUAUGUGCAAUUGCUUCUGAAAUCUGGCUUUAGGCUCUAGCAUGCAGGGUGAUAGAAUAGACACAUGUGACAUCUCCAAGGGGACGACAUAGAGAAUAUCCAUAAAUAUACCAUAGGUUCUAGGCUUCUAGCAAGGACUAAGAUAUAUAAUUUUUUGAAACUUUGAAUAUAUUUCACCUCAUUUUUAAUAACGCAGUGGACCUAAAUCGUAACUACUGUGGAUUAAAAAGCAACGAAUGAAUAAAGAAGGUACAUUAGAUGAUAAAUCUGAAAAAAGGAGAAUAUAGAAGAUAAAUUAUAAUAGCGGGAGGAUUCCAUUAUAAAUAAAUAAAUGAACAGAUCUUGUCCAGAAUAAUUCUUUAUGAUAAGUGGAAACCAAAUCACAACUAGCUUCACUUUUUGGUUAAAGUACACGUCCAAUUGUACUAAUCAUAACUUAUAAGUUCAGUAGGGGCCUAAUAUAAACUCGCCUACAGAUCUAAUACUUACAUUGAUAGCUGGACAUAAUUAACAAAACAAUCGUUUAUGGAUGAUUACAUAAAUCAUUAAGCUCUAGUAUGUAAGUUCAUUAGUCAGACACCACACAAAAGAACUAAUCAUUAUUGAGUUAACACGGCACAUUUUACAUUGAAAUAUUAGCCAGUCUCACAUCCAUUUUAAGAUUUGUGCAGACCAUAGAAGCUAUCAUAUACAUAGGGCGACUAGCCAACUCAAGUCCAUUCUCUCUUAUCUUCUGGGAAAAAAAAAAGAGAGAGACAAAAUGCCCAAGGAGGAUAGCAACUUCUACUGUAACCUAUAGGCUAAGUGACUGUUCGGCUUCAUAACUAAAACACUGUUUUCUAUUUUAAAAAACAGGGAGACGGUUUUCAGAAAACAGAUGUGGUGUUUGGUCCCGUUUCAAAACGGUUUCCAGAAAUAUAUAAUUAGAAAACAGUUUUUUAAAACAUGAAAAUGUUUUGUCUGUAUAUAGAAAACAGAAGUAAGGCCAAAAAACACUUAAGUUUGUCACGUGGGACUAAUAAACCCUGGACAAAGGACUUAUGUGCUUCAAGUCUAUACAGAGUUCAGUCCUUAAGUUGUUUCAUGGACCAACAUGUUAAGGGUUUAAUUGCAAUAUAUUAGGGGGAAAUUAUAAUUCUUGGAAACAUAGUGCAAGGGUUAAUAUAUAUGGAAGUUUAUCCAGAGAAAUCUUGUUGUUUCAUCAACCAUUCCCACUACAAAUAGUAGCUGGAGAAUUUAAGCUACUAUCACAGGCACUCGAAUAAAUAAAGCUACCAGUUCCUUGAAAGUUGCGGUAAGCUACAAACAUGUAAAUGACAAAUUAAGAACGAACCUUAACCCUCCACCAAAGGUGACCACUUAGUGACACUUCAUGAAUAUGGCUCACUUAUCAAUUAUUUAGAGAUCGAUGGAAUAAGAUAUAGAGCACAAAAAUAUAGAUGUAUCCAACAUAACACAAGGGAGUUACCUAAUACUUAAACCCAACGAAGCCAAACAAUAAAUUCCAUAUUAACUAAGAAAACUUAAUUACUAAUUGUAUGAGAAGAUCCUCUCCAAAAAACUUAUCAGAAAUAAUAUACAACAAAACCUAAACACACUAUCUAGUGGAUGCCCCUCCUAUCGUAGAUACUCCUCUCAUUAAAACAAGAGAUGAGAUUCGAGCAAUCAUUGAGGCAUAUGUGUGGGAUUAUCAUGUAAAAUCUAUGUGGAUGCUCACUUGCCUUCCAAAAACAAAGCAUAUCCAGCAAAAUCAACCAAAUAAGAAGUAAAAACAGGUAGUUACAUAAAUUCCCAUGGUACAGCAAACUAUAAGCCAAAAAAAAUAUUCCCUAUACACAUCAAAACCAAAAUUCAAACUAUGCAACUAAACCAAUCAACUCAAACAAAAACAGAUCAAGAUCAUAAUUUGAAAACACACACAUAAAUAAACCAAACAACAAGCAACCCAAAUUGACCAACCACCACAAAAAACACACCAAGACUUCAUUUUUACUUUGACCAAACAAAAACCCACCAAAACAAGCAUCAAACAAACCAAAAAAAUCACAAAAAACAAAGAAAAAAGACAUAUACAUACAGGAAAUGAAUCACCCAGAUGGCCAAUCUGCUCAGAAUCAUCAUUUCCAUCACCAAGAUCACAUUUUGACAAGCUUUUACCCCAAUUCUGGAUCUGGGUAUCCACCAAAUUGACAGGCUGCUGCUGCUGCCAUUCCUCCUCGGGAUUCUCGCCACAACCCAGCUUCUCCAUUCCUUCACAAACUUGCUCUGUGUCUUGCAAACACAUUAUAAACCACCCACUAGUUAAAAAAUUCAAUCUUUCUUUAAUAAAAAUCUGAUCUUUAUAGUGUUUGAGCAACUUGUGUGUUUCACAAGGGGAGAGAGAGAAGAAAGGAAUCUAAAAGCCCAAUAAUUUAUUAAAAUUUUGAAGAAUACAGGGAGAUAUAUAAGGUUUUUCUGUUGGGGAAGUUAUAGGAAAUGUAUACAUACAAGUGUGUGUUUUCUAUGUGUGUAUUUGUGUGUGUUUGUGUUUUGUAAUGAGGAUUAGAUAAGAAAAAUAAGAGAGAUGGUGUUAAAAAAGUUCCAGACUUUUCUAAGAAAGUGUGGCUGUGAUGUAAGCAGAUAUUUGUACAAAACUCCAUUAGAUUUUGUUUAAUAUCAAGACAAAGUAAAGGUGGAGAGAUCUUAAAUGUGGACACACUCUAGCCCACUAUGAAUAUGGGUAUAAAUUAAUUAUUGUUUUUCCUCUUUUAUGUGAAUUUACCCAUGGUAUGAAAUUUGCAAAAUCUAUUCUUCAAUUACAAAUUCUGCUCCCUUCGGGGAUCGAACUCGUGACUAAAACUAUACAUGUCCUUUCUUUAACCGGCUAAAUUAACCCGGCAAUUUUUCAAUAUUAUGAAUAAUGAGGUCAUUGUAGUAUUAUAAAAAUUAUAUAAAGUAUAAUUUUAUAAUUUAUUUAAUGUUCUUAUUUUCUGAAAAAAAAUUUUAUAUUUUAAUUAUUUCUUUUGUAAAUCCCAUUUUUAGCAACAUAUAUAGAACAUAUUAGAUUUAACGCAUUUAUAAAUCAGAUAUAAAAUCAUAUUCUUUUUAAUUGGGUAUCGAAUCGUUUGUAAAUGUAUCAUACGUACGAUUCUAUAAUUUACAAUAAUUAAAAUAAAAUUAUACUCACUAAUAAACAAAAAAUCGACCACAAAUAAUUUUAGAAAAACAAUAGCGUACUCAUUCCUACAAUAUCAUCAACGACAUCAACCUUCGAUAAAAAUAUUUAAUUAAAUUAUUUUUUUGCUUAAUUUGUACUCCUGAUAAACUUGAAAACCCGUGAAUCAUGACUAAAAAGCAAGUAGUGUGGCAUUUUAUUAAUGUUCCAAAGAUAGAGCAAGACAAGUUCAAAGAAAACGGUGACAAACUUGGCAUCAAUUUCCAAUUAUUGGCCUCAAAGUUACGCCGAAAUGAUAAUGCUAUCUUUCACACUUUUGAUAUCUACCUAUAGGAUUCUACUAAAUCCAUAUAAUUAUUUGAGUAAUCAAUAUGUAGGCCAAACAAAUACCACCUUAUGCACACAUGCUUUUAUCUUCAUGUCAGCCGUUUCUCUUAUUUGUUUACGGUUUUUUUUUUAUUUGACAAGUAUCUUAAUAUACAUAAAAAAUAUAAUUUUAUUAUUUAUUUUUAUUUUUUAUUUUUAAUAUCUUAAACUUUUAUUCAAAAAAUAUUUAAAAAAUCCUAUAAAUUAUAUUUGAAAGGAUUCUUAAAUUAUGUAUUGGAAUCCCGUCUCUUAAGACAUAAAUGUUAAGAGAAUAUAUUAACACAAAAAGAACACGCCUGAUAUUAGGUACGAAUAAUAUAUUGUUGACGAUAUUAAACUUUUGUUCCUGACAAAAUGUCAAAAAUUCAAAUGUUAUUAGCAUUAUUAUAUACACAAACAUAUUAAAAUAAUGUUAAAGUAUUUAUUAUUUGACGGACUAAAAACUUCUUACUCGAAUUGAAAUAAUGUGUUCGCAGGUUAAUCCAAUUUUAGAUCGUUGAUACGAAAUUAUUAAAAAAAUCUAUACCGACAGAAGAAGAGUAAAUAUACAGUAGUGCGGUUCUGGCUUCGAUGGGUAACAGUUGUGCCACAUGCAACAAAAGGUGGUUGAAUAAAAAAAUAAUUAAAAAUGUAGUGUAUGAAAUUGGAGCAUACUGACUGGCAAUGAGUAAGCCACGCAAGUAUUUGGGUUUGAAAGCGAAAGGGAACGAAAGGAGAAAGACGAAUCACAUGGUGUAAUGAGAGAGAGACUCCCAUCAACUUGAACCGACCAACACUAUGCGCAAAGCAGUGUUCCACAUUAGCUGCAAAUUUAAGUUUUGCCGAGUGCUUAAUUUCGAGUUGGAAGCAGGGACGGAACCAAGAAUUUGGGUUGGGGGAGCUUGACAAGUGAAUAACAAAGAAAAAAAUAUUUUUAUUCAUAUUAGGAACCAAAAAAAAUAGAACUUCACCCAGUUAAUCAGAAUUCUCUAUUCUAUUUUCUGAAUCUACUUGAUUAUAUUGAUGCAGGACUUAGUUGAUAAUGAGCAUAGACUUACUUAACACAUAAAUUACAUAACAUUUAUAACUACUGAACUUUUAUUUUGAAAAUUACCCUAGGCUUAAGCCCAAGUAAGCCCCGGGCUACUUCCGUCUCUGGUUGGAAGGCUGUGGAAAUCGAAUAUCGGACAGGUUCAGAAUUUAUCGAAUUUUGUUUAUUGAAUUUGUGAUUUUUUGUUAAAUUGGAAUAUAAUUUACCUGUAAAAUAUAUAUUCAGGAUAAUUGGAAUUUUUUCAAUAAAUCAAAGAUUUUCAGAACACUGAUCAAAUCCAACAAGAUUUUUUAGUUCAGAUUCGGUUUUUGAUUUGGAUCUGAGUUCGGUCAGAAUAUUUUGCAAUUUUUUUUGAACUCAAAUGUACACAAAAGAAUAAGAUCUCAAAAAUAUCCAAAUUUGAUUUGAUUUAAUUAUGUUUUUAAAAUUCAAAAUAUUGAGAUGAAAAUUUGACUAUAAUCGGUCCGAAUUCUGAUCUGAGUAUUCGGCCGAGUCAAAUCUGAAUUUUACUUAAAUAGUGUAAAAGAUGAAUUAUUUGGAUGUAACCCUACUCAGGACUAAACAGCACGAAAAUUUGUUGCACAACUUUUAUUUUUGAUGAAGAUGAAAUGUGAUUGGGGUAGGGGUGAACAAAACCAACCCAAACCGCAAAAACCGACCCAAACCAACCCUUUUUUCACCCGAUUAAACCGAACCAUUUGAAACCGAUUAUUAAAUGGGUUGAUUUUCAAAAAACCCGAAUAAAUUGGGUUGGGUCAGGUUUUACAUAUUUUAACCCUUAACCAACCCAACCCAACCCGUUUAUAUAAAAAUAAUUAAAUAAACAUAUUAUUCCCAGAUCCAAUAUUUUUUUACCAUAUAGUUUGCUGGUUUUUUUUAAAUCCUCACUCACCAGAUACUGUUGAAUGACAGAUCAACUAGUAAAUUAAUUUACAACUCACCAGAUGCUAAAACUAGAACUGCCCUUAUAUAACUUUUAAGCAGACUAUCUUCUGAUAUGUAAAUUAGGACAAUAUUUUGUUAUGUAUUAUGAACUAUGAAGUGCAAGAACAGUGAACUGGAGCAGAUUGGCAAUUUGGCAGCAUUGACGGUUUAUUUAGUUUGUAUUUUUCUUUUUUGCUUGUAAAACCCGACCCAAACCGAACCAACCCAACUCAUAUUUUAAUUAGCAAUGUUGGGUUAUGUAUAUUUUUUUUGGUUAAUGGGUUAAUUUUUUAUAAACCGAACUAAUUGGGUUGGGUCAUUUUUUUACCCCUAACCCGACCGACCCAACCCGUGUUCACCCGGGGGUGGCCAACAAAAUAUGGGAAGAGAGUCACUAACCACUAUAUGAGAUUUGGACAGUAUCAUGAGACUUUUGGCACCCUAAAAGUCUGUCCUUUAAUUGAUUUUUCUAGAAAGUAUCCCUAAAUUAUUGCUAUUUCAAGAAGACAUGAGGACAAAAAUAUACUAUCAUACUAUAUGUACUCACUGAUCCCGUUGUGAGUAGUGUCUGAUGAGGGCAAAAUGUAAGCCGUUCUACCCCUACCACAUUUAGAAAAAGAGGUUGUUUCCGGUGAAAACCCUUGAUUUAUUGUAUAACAAAUAAACUAGUAUAUGUCAUAAUAUAACUAUAAUAACUUAGCUCAUGAUCCUAAUAAGGAAGAUAUGUUAUCAGUAUAUGUGCAUGGCACUAUGGACAAAAUCCAGAAUCAGAUUUUAGUAUGAUAUAUACAGGAAUUGCACAAGCAAAUGCAAGGACAAACAAGUAUUUCUGACGGGAUUAACACCCCCGAGAAGUGAUUGUCGGGAAUAAUGAGAAAAAUUUCUCAAAUGAGUAUCUAAGUCGUGAAUGGCAUUACUAGCUCGCUACGUACAUAUGAAAAAUCAAAAAUCUAGUAUCCCGUUUCAAUAAUAUAUAUUUAUUUUAACAAUCAUUUGUUAUGGAACCGACCCAAUUCUGGUAUCACGAAAUCUCUAUGGAUUAAAAAAGAAUAAAGAUCGAGAGUUAAAAUAUAAUUAUACAUGUUUGUUAAAUCAUGAAAAUGCUUAAAUUCAGCCCACAGUGAAAUUCACAAAAAGACAACAAAACGUAAGCUAAGAGUUAAGAUUAGUGUCAAAAAAGGACAACCAGAUCUCUGGAGUAAAGUCCUAAUGAUGUUGCUAAUCAAGUUUAACAAGUAGCAUUUGGUUCAGAUGCAUCUUAGAAGUCCGAAAAGGAGGUCUUUGUUUAUAAUUUUUGUGUGUGCUGGUUCAAAAUGUUGGACCAUAGUUGAUUUUAGCAUAUAUGCUCAAGAAGAAGAUACACCAUAAAAGUCAAGAAAGAAGGUGUAUUAGGGCAACUCCAAUGCAAUGCUAUACUUGGUUCCAUUGCUAUAUUAUAGCAUCAAAAGUAAAAAACUCAACUCCAAAGGGGUGCUAUAUUUGGAUGCAUCCAUGCAUAGAUGCAUCCUUGGUUCUAUAUUUGAAACCAAGGAUGGAUCCAUCCAUGUUGCCACGUCAUCCUUGGUUCUAUAUUUGUUGAGAUAUUUAAUAAAAUUUAUAGAAGUUAGGUAAAAGUUGAUGAGUUGGUUAAAUUUGAAACUAGUUAUAAAACUUAGCAUUGGAGUGCAAGUUUUAUUUUAGCAUCAAAAAACACUUUUUGGUGCUAUAUUAUAGCAAUAGCAAUAGAUAUAUAGCAUCUAGCAUUGGACUUGAUCUUAGUAGUAAAAUAUAGAUUGCUUUGCACUCAUUGUAAAUACUAGCACAAUUCUUAUGAUUGGUUCUUUCAGAAAUGUAAUAAUACAAAUAAAAAUAAUUAUAUUCCUUAGUGUUUUGAUAUAUACGCCGUGUGACUUUUUUACACAUAUUUUUGAGUCAAUAAUAAUAAUAAUAAUAUAUAAUUAGUACUAUAAUUCAAAAAAAUUAGAAAAAUAAUAAUUGUAGUUAUGUAGUUAAAGACCUUUGAAAUAUAUCUUAAAAAUUAAAUAUCCUAUAUUUUAAAAUGGAAAGAAUAUGAAAAUCAUUUUUCGGUGCGGAACUUAACACUCAAAGUAUACCAAAAGUAAAUAAAUGAAGUUCUCGAAUGAAAAACUAUGUGCCUGUUUGGGAAGGCACGAGAAGUGCUUCUUUUCCGAAGAAGCUAGCUUCUCCUUUACUUGACCCGUUUGUGUAAAAAAGCAGAAGCAUUUUUUAGAAAUUACAAAUGCUAGUUUUUAUCUCAGAGUUUCUACUUCUUUCCCAAACACUUUAAUCACUUAUAAACUUCUAACUUUUAAUUCAUUUUUUAACUUUAAUCAAGAAGCACUUAUUUUAAACUCAACUAAACGGCCCCUAUAUAUUGAUUCAUCAACAAAGUGUGAGCCGUUAGUUGUCUCGUGUGAGGUGUGACGAUGGAACACCGGAAUAGCGUGUAGGUUUAUGACCUGUUCCAUAUUUGGGCUUUCAUUGUAAUGGGCCAAAGUUUGCACUUGUGAACAAAAUUAAUUGUGAUUAAUCUUCAUGUAUUUUUGUUAUGCCCUGGAAAAUCUGCUCUUCUUUUUGUACCUGCUAAUGAAAAGAAAGCACCUUUGCAGAUAAUAAGAUUGUGUUUAAAAAAAAAUUGUAAUUUUAAAUUUUAAAUUUCAAAUGACAUGAUUUUGAGAUGUCGAUUCUAAUUUUCAGUUUUAUACUUAUUUUUUUAUCCAAAACAUUUUAUUUCAUCAAAUUCAGGUUCUCAAACGGGUCAUGAUAGUUUAUCAGGUGCGGGGAGAUGUGUUAACCUGGGAUUAUCUUCAUGUGUGUGCAUGAGUGUAAAAACACACACACAUAAGGUAAAUAAACUAUUGUCAGUUUGAAAUUAUGCAAUUCAAGAAAUAAGAAAUAUUUAGCAUUUUCUAACCUUAAAACUCGAGGUUUUGAUAAAGCACAGUGGAUAUGUGCAAAGCUCUGACAUGAAGCAAGUUAGCAAGAACUCAACAAGUAUCACAGUAAAUACCUAAACUGAUGUCCAGAGAACAAGAUUUUCAAGCAAAAGAAAAUAUUUAAACAGUUGCUUUUGCAGGAAAAAUAUUACUUAAGCAUUUGGAGUAGUUAUCAACAAACUGGGAAAAACAUUUGUGUAAAACUACUAGGAGUAGCUAUUAAUUUUGCUAGAAUGUUGGAAUAAAUCGGGUUAUUUUCGAGAGAGACUCUAAUCUUACUCCUUUAAAAUGAUUAACAAGAAAACUUAAAAAGUAUUUAUCCGAGGUUGGGAAUGUAUGUGAAGAUAUUAUAAUGAUCGAUGAGAAAAAGUAUUCGUCUGAUAUUGCGAAUGUAACUGAAGGAAAAUAUUUGUCUCAUCCAGUAAAUAAUGAUCUUCUAAUGUUGUUUACAAAUGGUAUAGAAAUAAUUUGAUAUAUUACAAAUUUGACUAUCAAGUGAACAAUAAUAGUGGAGUAGUUACAGAUGAACAUAAAUUAUGUACAGAAUCUCUCUGAUUAACCUUGAAACCUGCAGCAUUUCUGCAUUGUUGUCCAACUUCAGUUCAAAUUUACUUAAAUCAUCAAAUAUUCUAAUCACAGCUCAGUUGUAUAUAGGAAGUUUUCUAGUUGCCGGAGAAUAGUCCAGUUCUGCUAUGCCUAAAAUUUCUGUCGAAAACUGUUGAUGCCUCAACUUUAAGGUUGCCUGAGCUUUGAACUGGUGCUUAUGGAAAAAGUAGCAGAAGAAGUUUUUGUCUCAAGUGUUGAAAUAUAGCAUAAGAUCCACUUGGUGUCUUUCUCUAACACCUUAAGAUUUUAGAUGGACUGUUCUUAACAUGGUAUCAGAACUCAGGUUUGGCGACAACUUUCAUGCAUAAGUACAUGUAAAAUAAUUGACUAUCAAUCUUUUGUUAAUUUAUCACAACUUUGCAGAUAUCAAGAGGCUGAAUUCAUUAGACACUGUGUGCAUGAAUAUUUAAAUUUCCGACAAAUUCCAAACAUUGUAAAGAAGUCUUUUUUUGAUCUGCAGCUAAAGGUUACAAUUUUGUCACCUGACUUGUAAAUCUAACAAAAAAAACCAAAGGGAUCGUAGUGAAACUGGUUUCCAGUCUACUAGUUAUACCGUGAGGGCUUAUAAAUAAUUGUGCUAUCUAGUUAGAAAUGUUUCGAAUGAGUGGAACAGAUUAGUGGUGCCUAGGGCUGUGAUUCUUGGGUCCAUAGUAAUCUUCAUGUAUUGUUGGCAGCCAGUGGUGAGGUUCCUUCUUGUUUACUGCUCUUGAAAAUCUGGUCUGCUUCGUACCUGAACAACGAACACCUCUGCAGACAACUGCUUCAUUUUUAACACCAACCUCAACUUUUUUCAUCAAAUCGUUACUCUUGUCCUGCAUUAAACAUGAUCCUAACAAUCAGAAAAAUUCUCAAGAUGAUUUAAUAAUAAGACGCAGAAGAAGCACUAGUUAAUUAGCCGAAGAAAAGACCAGUUUUCACCUGAUCAAGCUUCUGAUCAUGCCUUUCUGAUAUUGAGGCUUUCCCUAAUCGUAUACCUUGAAAUACAUUUCAAAAGUCCGAAUCAGACUGGAGAAUAAUAAACUAAAAUGCUACAUGCAAAUAUGCAAUACUGAAUAAUAUUUAAACGCGCUUGUUGUCACUUGGAGUUAAUACCUUGAACUUCAUGGAGGAAAGAGGACAGAACCAGAAGUGAUAUAAAUACGACGGAAAUCUUCAUUGCUUCUUGAGAACUAGCAGCUAACAGAAACUAAUUGUUCAGCUACAAAGAGUAGUUUUACUCUCUCUUGCAAAUGCUAUAAUAGCUACAUAGUGAUGUUUGCUCUUAUAUAUACAACCUGAUAAAGGUCUAGCUUAGUGAUUAAAAAAAGAUUAGACUUUGCAGAAGCUUAUUACUUAAUGCUAAUCAACAUUCCAUAAAGGCUACUCAUUGAUAGAGAGAGAUGGGACAAAUUUAGACACCCUUCUCACAAAAGGGGGGGCUCCAUUUCCCUGAUGUUGAGAUCACUAAAUAAAUAUAUCCGAAACCGGGCAUAAUGCAGAAAAUAAUUAAGUGCAAACAAGCUGUUAUAGUUUGUUCCUUUGCUCUAAUUGGUUUUCGAUCAACUAAUAAACUAUGGUGCCCCCUUAAAGGCGAGGAUGAUUAAGCUAUGAUCAUCCGUAGCAAUAUCAGAGUUCUGGUACCAUGUCAUGUACAUUAUCCGAACGUGAAGUUUAAUAAGCAUAUUACAAAAAUCUUUAUGCUUUUCUCACUUUCAUUUGUAAUCAUGACCAUUUGUGUCAAAAAUCUGUAUUGUCGAAUUGAAGUGCCAAUUCUGCAUCUAGAUAUAAGGCAUUCGAUUGAUGAUAUACGAUUUUAUACUCAUUUUGCUUUACGAGACAUCGCUCAACUAAUCAUUUCCCUCUCCAUUUCUAUGAUACUUCAUUUGUGAUGCCCAUGAAAUGUUAUUCUGCAGACCUUUAGUUGAAUCUUGUCAACUCCAGAGCACUUUAGUAUAUUUCAGCUUUAGCCUUUUGUCAAUAUAUUAAAGAAUCUUGGUUAAAAUAUAAAAAUAAGUCCUAUAGAUUAUUAGAGAAUUAAGCCGACAAUGAGACAUUUAAUACUCGUGUGCCUCGGAUCAGAAUAGAUUAAUUAGGACAAUGGCCCGAGCAAGUGUAAUAAACUAAGCGGUCAUGCCUUUCAUGCUCACUGGCUUUUCACCAUAACCGCGUGUUUUGUGAUGGUCGUGUUUAUACCAGACCAGACAGUUCAUACUUCAUUUCGAGUGAAGAGAUCGACUCUUACUGGAGAAACCAGAGCUAGUGGAUGUUCAUCGUACCAACGUACAUCUUAAAUUUAAGCAAUCCCACUGCGGAAAUUUGUUAAAAUUGUGUGAUUGAACUCUUAAACUCGUAUAAAAGUACCUUUUACUAAAAUCUUAUAGCGCAAUUCAUUCAAACAUAAAAACAACCUUGAAUGUAAUUAGGCUAUGAAUGUCUUGUCACUUCUAACAAGGAUUUGCUGCAAAUUUAAUCCGUUAUCGGGGUCUCAGAUUUAUCAUCAAGGAUUGUCUUUAGCCCUGUAAUGGAACUACAAGCACCUGAGAAGCUCUGUUUUUGCUUAAUAUUCGAGUUUAUGUACUCAACAAAAAUAUUAUGAUUGCCCUGUUCCGAAUUUGAUGACAAAACAGAACUUCUUAUGUCACAUUUCUCUAAUGAACCCUAAUGUCAUCGCGAUUCAAUAAUUAAUUUUUUGGUUGAGAUUCGAUAUAGUUCAUUGUUCUUAAAAAUGAUAAAUUUUCAUCUAAAGAAAAUAUCUGUUUUUUGAUAAAAAGUGAGUUCAGACAUGAUGCAGAUGUUAAACUACUGGUGUCCACAAAUCAUAACAAGCGGCCCCCAAUAUAGUUACGUAUAUAUUUGCAGAAUUACACAUUAUUCUGUUUUGUAAUCUUUUAAAAAAAUUAUUACAAGCUCCAACACAACAAGGAAGUCUCAUGGCUUCUGCUUCUUCUUCAUCUGCACUCUGUCCUCUGCAGCAGCACCAAAAUCCUCUGUUCCCAAAAUACCCACCUGGCUUUCGUCCCCUUCACCGCGCUUCCUCCACGAACCAGAAGCUUGGUUUAAGUAUCCGCGCAAGCUCAGCUAUCGCUUUAGACCCGGUAUGUCCUCUUUCACAUGUAGUCCACAUAAAUUUACGCAUAAAAUUUUAUGGAGUCUCAGUUCUUGAAGUCCUCAGAGUCAUCUCUGGAAGAUUAUAUCUUUAAUUUUGCUUCGUUUAGUUGUUCAAUACGGAUAAAUUGAGCUAUGAUAGUUGAAUUGUAGAUGUUUGUACACAAUUUUGGGGUUAAGUUCUUCUCAUAUGAUACAAAUUGCAGUGGACUUUUUAGAGGGAUGAUAUUCUAUUACAAUAUGAUUUGAUUGGCAAGAAAGAAAUCAAGAUAUCUUCUGUUCUUGCCAACAUCUGUGAGUUUUCGUUGUUCCCUUAACCGCAAGAGUUGACCCCAGAAUAAUUCCUUGGCAAGAUCCCAAAUCCAAUAUCACGGCAUAAAAUGAAACAAAUUUGUCUAAAAUUCACAAUUUGGGAAUAUUGAGGAUAAAAGUUUCGGAUACAUUUUGCACUGUUAGAACUUAGAUGACUAGCUCUCCUGGAAUUUCUAAGAUGUUUGGGAAGUCUUAUACUUCAGCAUCAUUAUACUGCCUGAUAAUGAGAUUUUUUGCAGGUUUCAAGCAUCACAUCCCAAGAGGAUUUGAAAGAUGACUUGUUCGCAUGCCCAAUAUGUUACGAGCCACUGAUAAGAAAAGGUCCUAGCGGCUUCAACUUGUAAGUUGAAUAUACAUGGCUUAAUAAAUAAUAAUAACCUGCAUUUCUAAAUUAGUUGGGAAAUAACUUUAGAAUCUGGGAAUCUGCAGGCCUGCAAUAUAUAGGUCUGGAUUCAAAUGUUCGAAGUGCAACAAGACUUAUACAAGCAAAAACACGUAUCUGGAUCUCACGGUUACUUCUGGAACAAAGGUUUAUUCGGAAUCUAAACCAUCUAGGACUGAGCUGUUUAGGUAUGAAAAUACUGUAAAAUUUUUCCAUGGCUUAUUAAGAGUUAUACUAUUUGAACUUCAAGAAAAAAAAUCUAAAUUAUUUUGCUUUAAUUUCCAGCUUGAUCAUGUAUUCCUUUUUAAGUAGUUGAAUAUGUGGUCAUUAAAUUAACUGUUGAUUUUACAAAAGCCUAAUGUCGAUUCUGAUUACACCUUUUAUCAGGAGUCCACUGGUUUCAUUCUUGUACGAAAGAGGCUGGCGCCAGAAUUUUAACCGUGCUGGUUUUCCUGGACCUGAUGAAGAGGUAGAUUUUAGUUAUUGAUAUAUUAAAAAGUUAUACAUUAGAGUGAAUGAUAAAUUCUGUACUCUGUACUAAGGUUAUAAGAACUGCCAAGUCCAACAGAUCACUGCUGCUUAUUAAAACAAUGCAUGUACCCAUUUCUAUGGGUCGAUGUACUCUACUGUGUGAUUUUAUUGCGAGUUUGUGACCUCGAUUUUGCAGUUCACAAUGGCACAGGACUUUUUCAAACCUGCAGAAGGUGGUAUUCUUGUAGAUGUUAGUUGUGGAAGUGGUCUAUUUACUAGGAAAUUUGCCAAAUCUGGAACCUAUUCAAAAGUUAUUGCACUUGAUUUCUCUGAAAAUAUGCUUCGCCAGUCUUAUGAUUUCAUCAAAGAGGAUGAUACGGUUUUAAACUCGUAAGUUUCUUCUAUCCUCUGAGAAGCUAUAUCCUUCUACUUCAUUUUAAGCAAUUGGUAGAGCUGUUGUCUAACGUUCUUUAGGAACGUAAGCCCUCCUCCCAACACCUUGAGGUUUUGGAAGAAUUGGUCACUUAACAUGGUAUCAUAGCUCAUGCACCUUGAGGUUUUAGGAGAAUUGGUCUAUUAACAGAUACUCUCGUCAACAAGACCAAAGCAAGAUGACUAGCUUAAAUUAUAUUUCCAUUGGUAAAUCUGCAGCAAUCUCGCUCUUGUGAGGGCUGAUGUGUCGAGGCUUCCCUUUGCAUCUGGUUCAAUAGAUGCUGUCCAUGCUGGUGCAGCUCUACAUUGCUGGCCAUCUCCAUCUAACGCGGUAAGUUCCAGACCUGGAAAAAGUCUUCUCAAUGGUUAUUAAUUAUAUACGACACUCUUUUAAGUUCAAUAUAGAUGGACUAAUGAUGCUCAUUUUUUAUGCAUCAGAUUGCUGAAAUCAAUCGUAUACUAAGAAGUGGUGGUGUAUUCGUGGGAACUACCUUUCUUCGAUUCAGUCCAUCCACUCCAUCAUUCCUGAGGCCUUCUGGACGGGUGAUUCUUCUUCUCUUGCUGCAUGCACUCUUCUCCAUCUCUGCUUUCUGCACUCUAUCAAUAUAUUUAAAAACACAGUAUUGUCAUGCAUAGUAAAUCACCACAUAAUUAGGCCUUAUAACAAUGCAUUUGAGCUUCUGAAGAAGUUGAUAUAAAUUCAUACAAACAAGAAAAACUUCACAGUAAGUAAUGUAGAGAACUGGACUUAUAUGGUAUCUGGUAUUCAUCGCGGUGUACAUGCAUGGUUGAUCUAGUAAGAGGCACGAGGGCACACAUGUCUCCCGACUCNUAAAUUUUACAGAAUUAUAGAAGUGCAACCAGAAAAUUUGAAAACAUUUAAGUGUUUUCCAAAAAUUUGCUUGAUGCCCCGAGGAAAUUCCUCCUAGAUCCGCCCUGUGUACAUGGUAGCAUACCAGCAUGGUUUUCUCCUGUAAAUUAUCAAUUUACAUGAGAUCAUUCAUAGCUCAAGGAUUCUGCAUUGGUGAACUUCUGAUCAAAAUUGUCAUCAAGGUCUAAUGUGUGAUUUUGUUUGGCAGAGCCUAUCUCAGAACUACAACAAUUUGACAGCAGAGGAAAUUGAAGAUUUAUGCACAUCAUGUGGUCUUAUCAACUACUCAUGCAAUAUUCAACAGUCCUUCAUUAUAUUCACUGCACAGAAGGCUUAAAACUGGGUUUCCAUCCUCUAAACAGAGAAGAUAUAUUUCAAUUUUUCCUUGUUUAUAUGUUGAACAAUUCCUUCUUCGAGGGCCUGUAAUUAAUUUUUUGGAACAAGAUGCAAAACCUGAAAAAACACAAAAAUAAAUAACACAGAUUUUGCUUGUAUUGAAAAAUUGUUAUCAUUAGCGUACCCUUCAUAUAAUGAGAAUGCAGCUGAUCACAUCAUAUAAGGUUGGUAAUAGCAUCUCCGAGAGGCUCUUCAUCUAGGCUCCUAACUUGAAAUUUGAGGAGGAAGAGGAAAAAUGUUGCUCGAAGAGACUCUUAAGUGGCUCUUAAAUCACUAACGGCCUCUUAUUUCUCUCUCCUCUCUCCUCAAAGUUAAGAGCCACCACAUGGCUCUUAACUUAUUUUUUUCACAAUAAAAAAAUCCUUCCCUCCAAUUCACCAGUCCAAUAUAUGAAUAAAAUAUGAAAUAGAGAAGAGAUAUAGAGAGUAUUGUUGGAGUUUACACUCUUAACUUUGUCCUAAAUUACUAAGAGCCACAUUUUUUAUAUUAUAUUUAGGAGUGGAGUCUCUUGGAGAUGCUCUACUAUCCGAUCGGCUGAAAUUAUUUUUCUGAAAUAAAUUUGUAUUUUUCCCCACAUAAUAUUUAUUAAAACACCUUCUUAACAUUUAUAUUUUAAAAUAUACAUAUUUAGAAGAAAAAAAAGCCUUUAAUAGGGUUUUAAUUUUAAACGAAUUAUAAACGAAAAGUAACUUUAAUUAUCAAUGCGAAUAAGUUGUUUAUAUUCAUAAGUUCUUAAAUAUAAAAAUUACAAAUUAUCUUUUCAAAAUAAUCUUAUAGAUCCUUGUGAAAUCAAAUUUUCAAUAUCAAAAUAAAAUACUUUCAAUUUUCCAUAUUUUUAUAAACACAUAUAAAUAGAUAACUUGAUUCCAAACUAUAAAUUUUAUAUCGAACAUUCUUUUACUCCCGAAAGGCCCAAACCCGUAUAUCGAGAAAAGGCGUGGAGACUUGAUGUCGCAAGUGAGAUUUACUGCGACUAUAAACACCGGUCAAUCUUUUCGUCAUCUAUAAUUCUUUUAUCCGACUAUUUAAUUUUGGGUUUUUUUAUAGUGUGUCUAUAAACACAUGCCAAUCGCAGAAAUUUUUAUGUUUUCAUCAUUUUAAUUGGCUCUUACUUCUUAAUUUCUUAAUAAUAAUAGACCCUCCUGCAAAUACAUCAACCACAUCAAUCAAAAUGAUUUAAAUACGAAAAUUUUCUUAAUAAUAAUGGACCUCCUACAAAUACACCAACCACAUCAAUCAAAAUGAUUUAAAUACGAAAAUUUCCACACUUAGCGUGUGCCAUGAGCUCACACAAGACGAACCCUUUAAUUUUAUAGAAGUAGCAACUAGCACCAGAGACCAGUUGUGGAGUUUGAACGAGAGUAAGAUUUGGGUGUGCUGGCAGGAUUCACACGUGCUUUUCUUGUCUAGGGAUUAUGUCUCACGUGCGAUCAGACGGUCCAGUUUCAUUUGAGCACUCCUACGCAUAUUGUUUUCUGAUGGGGUAUGCUACGUUAUCUUUAUAGGACAAUUAUGUGGACCCAUUUAAAUUGCCUUAAAAUUUGUUAAAAUUCUCCGGAUAAUAAAUCAAUAAAAUCUUUAAUUAAACUUACUGAAAUUAAAUUAUUUAAAAAAUUAGCUAUUUAAAUUGUUGAGAGAAGCUAAAACUACUACGCCUCACAUGUUAAGUAAAACAGAAAUCACUAAAAUUUAUAAAAAAUAUAAUUUAUGAAAAGAUAUUAAUAAUUGAUUAUCGAUAUAAUGGAGUUCGAGACAAUUAAAUUAUAAAAAUUAUACAUAUAAUUAUCAGAGAUAUGAACGAUUACCGUAACAAUAACUAAUUAUUAAUAUAUAUUAAAAUAUAAUAUAUGAAAUUAUGAACGUAUAUUAUCGUAAUUAUCUUAUAAUAUUUUAACGGUUUUUCUAUGGUCUGCCCAUGGGCACACAAUAAAACAAAAUUUGAUAAUUUUUCCUUAUUUUGAUUGGCUUACACCCCUUUAAUAAUGAUGGCCCCUCUGCAUUUACACCAACCACACCAAUGAAAACACACCAAAUUUAUGAGUUUCCGUGCUUAGCAUGUUUCCGUGCUUAGCAUGUGCCAAUGAGCACACACUAGACAAACCGAUAUUUUAAUAAUGAACGGCGGAUCGAUCCCUCCGCCUACUAAUCAGAGUUAGCGGGUUAGAUGCUUCUAUGUUCGGGCUGUAAAUAAUUAAAACAAAAAUAACUUUUAAUUCAAAUAAUCGCCACGAAAAUAAUAAUCCUCUUUUAAGAAAGUAUAUAUACACACCCAUAGGAAUUGUAUACAACCUGCAAAGCAGGCCCACAAUACAUUAGAACAACCAAGAGAAACUAUCACCUACCCUCACGUCCACCAUACCACCCUACAACAUCACUUCAUCACCCCAUGAUCAAUCACCGACAUACGCAUCAACAAUCGUCGCAACACGUGUCUGCUUUCAACCGGCUACAGCCAGUCACAUCCAGUCAGCGACCGGCUAAACCAGUUAUCAAUAUCUGCAAUUCCCGCUAGGUAUAUAAACACGAUCUAACAAAACAGUAGUUUCACUAGACAGAACAUCAACUCAACUCAUCUCUCUCUCUCUCUAAGGUCACCAUUAUUCUCUCUCUCUCUCUCUCUCUCACCUCCCCUCCUCCCCCUCUCUCUCGCCUCCAAUUCUCUCUCUCUCUCUCUCUCUCUCUAUCUCUCACCUCCCCUCCUCCCCCUCUCUCUCGCCUCCAAUUCUCUCUCUCGCCUCCAAUUCUCUCUCUCUCUCUCUCUCUCUCUAUCUCUCUCUCUAAUUGUUAGAAAUUUUAAAUAGAUUAAUUAAUUAUUUAAUUUCUGCUGAUUAUAAUUGGUUUUGGUGGAUAAUCUGCUUUAGGAUUUUUAGAAGGAUUCAAUUAUUGAUAAUGACGGUGUUAAUUAAUUAAUAAUUGUAGGGUUGAGUUUGUUCGGGGAGAAAUUUUUGGGGGCUUUAAUUAUAGAAUAUUCUGUUUAGGGGAGGUACUUUUAAUUUUAAAUUGUAGUGUUAUUUGUUCAAGGUGAAGUAUAUUCUAUCUGUUUUUUUGCUUAAUUUUUUGAUCAUGUAUGUUUUUUGAAUUAUAAUGUAAAGAUGUUUUUAGUGUAAAUUAGGGUUUGUUGUAGGAGAAAUUUAGGGGUUUUGGUUUGUGAGUAGAUUAAAUGUUUGUAAUAGAGGGGUGUUACUCCUUAGGAUUAUGACAAAAGGGGUUUCUUGGAUUUUUGUUUUGAAAUUUCGGGACUUUAAUAUCGCUGAUAAUUUGUAGUUAGUUCAAGAAAUGGUUCUCAUUGUCAUGAUUUGAUCUGCAUUUGCAUUCCGUGUGUUGAUUAGAUUAGAUGCUUGUAAAAGUAAAACCAAAUAUGCUUUGAGCGUCUCUUUGCUCUGAUGUGCUUCUAUGUGUUUAUGCGGUCAGACUCUAGUCAAUUGCUUCAGUUAAUCUGUGAAGUAAUCUUUUGUUUGUUUAUUUUCUUUUUAGUUCAAAUUGCAAAGGCAAAGGGCUUGAACUACCAAAAAAGCGCUAUUCUUGCCCUUAUUGUACAGAUUGACCAUCUGGAUUCAGAACCUAAAUCUAUGUGGGGAAUUGUAAGAGGGUAAUACUUCGAGUGGAUACUAGCUCUCUCUGAAUUUCAAAGCUGAAAGGAGAGGAACUGGAUACCUACUUGGAUAAUAGCCACCAGGCAGCAGGGCAGACAAUGGCGCCUUCCCGGGUGGCUGGUGGAUUAGCAGGAUUGGCUAAUUCUUCUACGAAUUCUGGAAUCUUUUUCCAAGGUGAUAGGCAGUCUCAUGUUGUUGGAAACUCACACUUGAGUUCUUUUGGAAACUCUAUUAAUUCAAAUUCUGGAAACCUGCGUUCUAACAUGGGGCCAAAUUCCGGGGAUGUAAGUAAUACAUUAUUAAACAGUGUGGCUGCCUCUGGGCCUAGUGUUGGAGCAAGCUCAUUGGUUACUGAUGCAAACUCGGGACUUUCUGUUGGCCCAAAUCUUCAGAGGAGUGCUAGCUUUAAUACAGACUCGUACAUGCGGUUACCAGCUUCACCCAUGUCAUUCUCGUCCAAUAACAUAAGCAUUUCAGCUUCAUCAGUCCUGGACGGGUCUUCUGUUGUGCAGCAGAACUCUAACAAAGACCCUAAUUGCUAUCAGAGUCAACAACACCAAGGGACAUCUAGUGCCACAUCAUUUUCAGCUGGGCGAGCGGGGCAAAUAUCACUUCCUUCUGGCCCAAGAAUUCCUGGAUCUUUCAUUCAAGAUCCCCUCUCGCACUUGCAGAAGAAGCCUCGAUUGGAUAUUAAACAGGAAGACAUCCAGCAACAACAGGCUAUACAACAGAUUCUACAAAGACAAGAUCCUAUGCAGAUACAAAACCCUAAUCCUCAGUUGCAAGCUUUAAUACAGCAACAGCGACUUAGGCAACAGCAGCAGCAACAGCAACAACUACUGCAGUCUAUGCCACAAAUGCAGCGAGCUCAGUUGCUGCAGCAACAGCAGCAGCAGCAGCAGCAGCAGCUGCAGAUGAGACAGCAGCUUCAACAGGGGGUGCAGCCUGCUUCUGCUGGAAAGCGACCUUAUGAUGGUGGCGUUUGUUCUCGUCGACUGAUGCAGUAUCUAUAUCAUCAGAGGCAGCGACCACAAGUGAGUAUUUCUUUUGGAGCACCCAUGUUUAGUUUUGAUACAUAAACCCUCAGUUUUGAAUCUAUGAUAAUUUCUUCAUCCUUGUCAGUCUUUACCCUGUAUCUGUUAUGUUACUUAUGUUGGGUUUCAAUUUUUUAAUUGUAAUCACAUCUCAUAUUAUGAACAGGACAAUACUUUUACCUACUGGAGGAAAUUUGUGGCGGAGUACUAUUCUCCACGGGCAAAGAAAAGAUGGUGCUUGUCAUUAUAUGAUAAUGUUGGGAUUCACUCUCUUGGUGUAUUUCCUCAGGCGGCCAUGGUUAGCUAUAUCUUUAAAUUUUGUACUUCUGCAAAUGGGGCAUAAAAUAUAGUACUGUUUUAAUCUAUUAGCUAUAAUGUAAUUGAAGUAUUGAACUAAUGAGCAAAUACCAAAAUAACUUCCAAGUAUAGAUGAAGAAUAAUAAUGUAAGAUCCUAUAAUUUCUUUGUUUUGUGUUGUUUGAUUUAAAAAAUUUCAGCAUUGCAUCUCACUAAAUGAUCUUUUCUUUCUGCUUGCAAGGAUGCUUGGCAGUGCGAUAUUUGUGGUUCGAAAUCAGGAAGGGGAUUUGGUGAGUGUUACUUGGUAGUAGGAUAUCAUAAUUAUAAAUGUUUGUACUCAAAAGUUGUUGGAGGUUAAGGGUGUAGCUUACUUUGGAUUUUAAAUAGCUUUUCGUCACUUACCUUUUUUCAUUGGAUGACCCUUGGACCCUUGCCUUUGCCAUAUAGACCUUAUGUUUAUCUACAUCUUUUGUUUAGCUCCUUCUGUUAUUUCUCUGCUGAGCGUGGGUGGCAUAGCCACUCUUUUUGAUAAAGAUGUACAUUUUUUUCUAUUUUAAUUGAUAAUGUCUUCUUAUUACAUAUAUGACAUAUGUUUAGGUAAAAGAAUGGUUUCAACUAUUUUAUACGUGUCUUGCUUUCCAUCGAUUGGUUAAAUAGUAGGACAUCUUGUCAGAUCUUUAGACUAGCUUAGGCAUAUUUUGAAUUUCCCCUGUUUUUGCAGUUACUUUAUCAAGAUGUGGGCUGUAAAGGGUGUUAGUUGGCAAUUGCAUAAGAUUAAUAUUCAGUCAAAUAUUCUGACUUUUUACUGUUGAUUUCGAUUUCAACAGAGGCAACUUUUGAAGUACUCCCUCGACUAAAUGAGAUUAAAUUUGGUAGCGGAGUCAUUGAUGAGCUUUUGUAUCUUGACUUACCACGUGAAUGUAGACUUUCUUCCGGAGUAAUGAUGUUGGAAUAUGGAAAAGCAGUUCAGGAAAGUGUUUAUGAGCAACUGAGGGUGGUUCGUGAGGGCCAGCUCCGUGUCAUAUUCACCCCAGACCUAAAGGUCUAUAUUUUUUCUCAUUUUGAUUGCUGUACAGUUGUAAUCUUCUUCCUGAACCUUUUACACAUGUUUCAGAUAUUAUCUUGGGAAUUUUGUGCAAGGCACCAUGAAGAACUUCUUCCCCGUAGGUUGGUUGCACCACAGGUUAGGCAUAUCUUUAAAAAGUAAAUGUUCCAAUUCACUUUUCUAUAUACUCUUUAAAAACUUGCUUCCAAUUGUAUGGCAUUCGGUCAAAGAUUAUAUUGUGCCUAUGUCCGCAUCAAGAUUUUUUAUUUUUAGAAGAAUUUCCAUUGCUUCUACUUGUGUUUUAGGUUCUCAAAAGUAUACAUUGCAAACAAUCUCUUUAAACAUAGAACUAAUAGAGAGAUGGGAGGCAGAUGAAUAGAGUAUAAUGAUUUAAGUUUAGUUUCUUACAUACACCUGUGACCUAUCAGGCUGUCAUAUUUCAUAUUUACAAGUUUUCCUUUUUGUAUUGUAUUCAUAGCAUAGUUUGAUGUUUAGGAUCUGUCAUUUUUAUCAGCUAUAUGUGUUGGCUGUUAGCCUAUUUAGUCAUAUGACCAUUUGUAGGAUUAUAUUGAUAAUUUGAACUCUGUUCAGAAAUUUUACAGUUGAUUGAAGGUUUAAAAUUCCUUUCAGGUGAAUCAGUUGUUACAGGUUGCACAGAAAUGCCAAAGCACUAUUACUGAAAGUGGGUCAGAUGGGGUCUCUCAGCAGGAUUCGCAGAAUACUAGUAAUAUGUGAGUUGCAUUUUAUGUUUUCAUGUCUAUGGGUAAUCUGAUGUGAAAUGGGGCUAUACUUAUCUGCAUCAAUACACCUUUGCAAUUGACAUCUGAUAUUUGAUAUUAGUAAUGAGUAUUUAGGUAGUGCAUGUGGCCUGCUUUGUAUCCACUACUAUAUGAUUCCAGGUCUGGUCUCUAUUUCGAGGGGAAAACAUAGAGAUACAUGAUCAGUGACCUUACAUCCCUAUGUAAUAUUAUCUAUAUUUUUUGGUAGUCAAUUAUGAUUUUUUUUUUUGCUACAUAAUUAAUUCUGAUCUUUUUUAGUUGUCUGGAUGCAAUUUAGUUGGUUGAUAUUUUUAUGUGUGAAUCCAGAGCUUAAUGUUUAAUUAUUUUGUCCAAAUGGCUGUGUUGCUUACAAUUGACAAUGUGUCAGGAUGGUGACAGCUGCCCGCCAAUUUGCUAAGAGUCUAGAGUCGCAGUCUUUGAAUGACUUGGGAUUUUCCAAAAGAUAUGUGCGAUGCUUACAGGUAGCUUUUUUUGGUGUAUUCAAGUAAGAGUGUGGGGUAUGGUUAAAUUCUUGUGAUGUUUAUGAUAUCAAGUUAAACAACUUUUAAACAGAUAUCGGAGGUUGUCAACAGCAUGAAGGAUCUUAUGGAUUUCUGCAGAGACCAGAAAGAUGGACCAAUGGGUAAGUACUAUUCAUGUAGUUUCUAGCAUUAAUUCAAUCUAGUUAUAAGUACAAACGUUAGGGGUUCAAAUGUCACCUGUGUUUAGUUUUAAGUACAAUUAAACACAUCUGAGUUGUAUUUUUCUCUGAUAAAAUACACAUAAAUAUUUUUUCCCACUCAAUGUUGUAUUCUAGAAGUGGCAGUAUGGUGGACCGUGUUCCUGUUAAAAUUGAAUAUAUCUACAAAUAAAUACUUCCCCAAGAACUGGCAUUGUUGUCUUAUUAUUAUCUUAAUUAUCCAAUUACAGUCAUGUACCAAACAAAGGAUAGAUAUAGCUAAUAUAAGUAUGUGAAAUUCUUGAACUAGGAAAUAGGAAACUUUGAGGAUUGCAUUUUAAUAUGUAUAUUUAUAUUUUUAUUUCUAGUCAAAAGUAUUCCAGGUUUAGAACAUGGGUUAUCUUCCGUACCUCUUUAGAGUUUGGAAAUUUGCCCAUAAUCAUUGCAUUUAUUAGAAUAAGUUGAGAUAUUAGCUUCGUUCGUCCCGAUAGCUGAUUUGGAAAGGAGCUUCUACCUUUGUUUCGGAGCCGUUCUGCAGGGUUGAUACUUGACAGCCCUUGAUCUGAGUUUUUCUUGUUCCUAUUUACUUGAUAACAUAAUAACAUAUUGGUUGACCAGGCCAGAACUGAAUUCCAAUUUUCUUGUAGUAUAAUGCUUAUAUUAGUAAUUUGUAAAUUUGAUUUUAUUAAAUAGAAACUGGUCCCCCUAUUUAAACACUUCUCCUGCUACUACUGUCUUGCAGAGAGUUUAAAGAAAUUCCCUCGACUUGCCAGUCCUGCCAAGUUUCAGCUUCAGAAGAUGCAGGAGUUGGAACAGAUGGCCAGUAUUAAUGGUUUGCAAACUGAUCGUGGAACACUCAACAAGCUAGUAGCACAAAAUGGGGGGCUUAAUAAUCAGAUCAAUUGUAACAAUCAAAUGGUUGGGCGAGCAGCCUUAAGUGGGUCGCCUCAAGCUGCCAUGGCCCUUUCAAACUAUCAGAAUAUGCUGAUGAGACAAAACUCUUUUAAUUCUAAUUCUAAUUCAGCUCAACAGGAGGCAACUUCCUCUGUGAGCAAUGUGAACCAGAAAGCAUCCCCGUCUUUCCAAGGGUCUGCUUCUGUAUUGUCAGGGACAAUGCAGAAUCCACAGACCAGUGGAUUCUCAAGUUCCCAUUUCUUGCAAUCGCAUCAACGUGCUCUUAAUGUUAACGGUGGUCUGCAACAGAACCAUCUGCAAUCUCCUCAAAACAGCCAGGGCUUGCAACAACAAAUGAUCCAGCGGCUGCUACAAGAUAUAAAUAGUAACAACAAUACAGGGGGUGUACAACCACAGCAGCAGCCCCUUGCUGGAAACAGUGCUAAUGUUAGUGCGGGAAGUGAUGGUCUUGGGUAUGGGAGCAACACGUCUAUGGGAUCAGCAGCUCAGGUGAAUAGAGUAGCUACUACAAACAAUCCAAUGCCAACCAGGAGCAAUAGUUUCAAAGGAGUUUCAGCUAGUGAUUCUUCUGCAGCUGUUGGCAAUAAUGGGAACAGCCAGAGAGCAUGUGAUAUACCACAAAAUCUUCAGUUGUCAGACGAAUUGGCACAGGAUAUUGCUCAGGAAUUUUCAGAACAUGGUCUUUUUAGUGAUCUUGAGGAAAGUAUGGCAUAUGGUGGCUGGAAGACAGGAUUGUAACUCACGUGAACGGCUUCUGUUGGGUCAGUUUCUCUAUGUACAUGUUUAAUUAUAUUAGGUCAUGUGUUUCCCGUCCUAUUGAAGCCGAACACACAUAAACUCGUUACAGUACGAAAAAGUUAGGAAAUGUUUAGAGUGUUUAGUUCCCCCUCUUUUUCUCGUUUAUGGUACCAAACCCAUCCAACUGUAAUUUUUUUGGUAAAUGGCGAUUACAAGAAACUUUGUAUACUCAGGCCUGCAUGUUUGCACUAACAUCCAGCUUGAAAUACCCUGUCCAUCUGUAAUAUUUGAGGACAAAUCCCUAUUGUGGUACCAAUACAUUUUCAUGCAUCUGUGAUCAGCUUGUUCAUUGCUCCGAGUUGCUGGCGUGACCUGCUCGUAUCGGAAGUUUGAUAGUAUAUUAACCUGUGUUUUUGACCGUGUGUGAUGUCACUAGCUGUCAUUAGCGAGAAACCAAGACAAAUUUGAAGCGAGAGAAGCCAGAGAAUUCUAUGAAACUGUUAGUGCAGACUGCAGAAGAGACUGGCUGAGAAUCUGUAUUUAUGUUUCUGCUGUAUUAACAGUUUUAGGAAUCUCAUUGUGUCUGGCAGAGUAAUAAAGACGUUUACCCAUUUAUAUAUUUUUCUUAUGAUAGAAGAAUGUUUAUACCUAAAAUAUGUAAUAUUAUGGUAGUAUACAAUCGAAAGAAUGUUUUGUUUAUAUUAGAGCAUUUACACAGGGUGCUCUGUUUCGUUCCCUCAUCCCUAAAUUUUGAGGAAAUCAUGAAUUUUAGUUGAAAAAUGAGCUUAAACCCGGUUCCUAUUUUUAGGCAAGUCUCGUUUAUAUUCAACAUAAUAUUUGUGUAAAGGUAGAGUGAGAAACGAUAAAAUACUUCUGUCAUUUUCAAGCUUUUUUACAGUUUUCUUGUACUGGUACAUAUUUUAAGUUGUAUAUAAAAUAUAGUUUUAUGAUUAUAUUUAAAAUCUUUCUAUAAAAAAUUUAAAAUCAAACUUUAUUUAGAAGAAUAUAUUUAUAAAAUUAUAUUUUAUAAAAAUAUUAAAAUAUGUGUAUACUCUGUCCUCAAUAUGAUUCGAUGAAGGCACAUAAGAAGUCGAAAUGAAAGUUGUGCACAAAAGUAAGAGAGAGGUAAUAAAGAAUUAAUAUAACAAGUUGAGAGGUAAUAAAGAAUUAAUAUAACAAGUUUUUAGAUGGUAUGCCAAAGGAAUAAAUUUAAAAAGUUAUUAUUUCGGUAGGAAUACAAGGAUUAAG
RNAcentral lists this long non-coding RNA (25344 nucleotides) under Daucus carota (carrot). Its description in RNAcentral is "long non-coding RNA (DCAR_LNC001694)". Lineage: Eukaryota; Viridiplantae; Streptophyta; Magnoliopsida; Apiales; Apiaceae. The record is from RNAcentral.